This 733-nucleotide ribosomal RNA is filed under the name Triticum aestivum (bread wheat). Its description in RNAcentral is "partial small subunit ribosomal RNA". The record is from RNAcentral. Lineage: Eukaryota; Viridiplantae; Streptophyta; Magnoliopsida; Poales; Poaceae.
CCCGCACAUCGGUUCGUGUUGCGGUCCCGGCUACCGGUGCCGUGCGGCUCUCCUCGUGGCAGCCCGGCUCCCGACGACGUACGAGGAGCGACCCUCGGGGCAUGGAGUGAACCUUCCGCACCGCGGUACCCGCACGUGCGACCCGUAGCGGCGCCAGCGCGCAAUUCGCCGGCGAACGACGGAACGCGCCUCCGGCUCGGCGGAGCAAAGGCAGCGCCGUCCGCUUUGGCCACCAAGGCCACAGGUUCAGGUCGCGCCCCGGCUCCAGUCUGGUUAGACUACUACAGCAACAAGUACAGGAACUACCGUUCUACCGUUGCUCGCCGUGGUGGUCAGGUCGCUCUACCAUUACUUCUUAGCUUCACUGUCAAUCUCUGGCUCUCUAAACAGCAGCACCGGCACGUGCCGCGCUCCGACGGCUAACCUUCGCGAAAGCGGCCCGACUCCUGGCGGCGCGGUGGUGCGGCUUGGUUGCCGACAUCGGCGGCUUGAGCGUCCGCUAGCUACGACGUCGGUCCUCGGCACCGCGACUGCCUUAGCGAGGCGGUCCUCGGCAGAGCGUCUACCUUAGCGAGGCGGCCCCUCGCACGACUAUUGCACAAAACUAAUCUCUUGUUCUCUUAUCUGUGUCUCUACAUUUACUUGUCAGCAAAUGAAAUAAUACUACACUAGUGUGUAUAUAUACGGUGAUCUCUCCACAGACAUCUCUCUCUGCGGACAGGUCGCUUGGCUG